GAUCGCGCAGUAUUAUAUUAAAUGUUGGCUACAGAAUGAUAUAUAGAAUUUCAAAGACAAAUGUAAAAGCAAAUUCCAUCCACAUAUGCAAGUAGCCAAUGAUGAUGUAGGCAACCGCGAAAAGAGGAAACCAACUAAAGAAUGGUCUGUCUUGAUAAAGUUGCCUCAUUUUAUAGAAUCGGCUUGAAAUUGCAAUAAAUCAGUUGCUAUCAAGCCUCAUUUACUAACAUGGAUAAUAGCUAGAAAAAGAUACCAUGGAACCAGAGGAUCAAAGUACUGGCAUCAGUACCCACACCAGUACCUUACAGAUAUGCUAUGAUACAUAGCAACAAUAUACAUUUCAUGGUAAUCAAGGUUAAAAAUUACAAAGAACUGAUAGGGUCUACAUAGAUUUAGAAAUAGGAUGCAAUCUACAAAUCAUAAAAUCGAUGCCAAAUAUAAAACUAUCAGGAGUUAGACUUAACAACUGUGAUUGAAUUGUGUUAAAUUAAAUGUUGGCUACAGAAUGAUGUUUGGAAUUUCAAAAACAAAUGGAAAAGCAAAUUCUUUUCCACGUAUACAAGUAGCCAAUGAAGAUGUAGGCAACUGCGAAAAGAGGAAACCAAUAAGUAAAUGGUCCGUCUUGAUAAAGUUGCCUAAUUUUUUAGAAACAGACUGAAAUCAUAAUAAAUCUGUCGCUAUCAAGCCUCAUUUAAUAACAUGGAUAAUAGCUCAAAGAAAAUAUUGUGGAUAUGGUAUGAUACAUACUGACAGAAUACAUUUCAUGGUGCCAGCACAACAAAAUAAGUGAAUUACCAUGUGUUUGUACAGUACAAGUACGGGAAGUAUAUCGGUGCAGUACAUCACAUAGAAUCCGGAACUUAAAUCCUUGAUGGAACUAAAGAGCCAUAGGCGUAUGUUUCUAUACUUAGUUGAACCUUGUGCAUCUUAAUAUUAUGAAAACCAUCAUCUUAAAUAAUCAACAUUUAGUAAGAAAAAUUUUUAGAUCUUUGUUUCUAUGUUCAAUUGAAAUUAGUGCUUCAAGUCUAGAAACAAAGAACCAUGUGGAAUAGUUGAACUCUGGCAACAACAAAGGCAAACAGGGAAAAAAAUAUCACCACGAAAGUUAAAAGAUGCACAAAAUUACCAAACUGCCUAUUCACUAAUGCUAAUUGUCAUGCACCACUCAUAGGAUAUUGCAUGGGUAUAGUGGGCAUCUAAAUUAUGGAGUCAAACAGAAUGAGUGUUGCAUGGCAAAUGAUGACCAUUCCACAUAAAGUCCGCAAAAACAAAACUAACAGACACCUCAUGCUUCAGUGGGUCAUACAAAUUGCUUCUAGAAGAUAAAAUUACAGUAGUAACAAAAUAUGGAGUGCUUGGUGUAAUAUAAAUAAUUAAAAAUAGAAGCUGGAGAUAUCAACUAAAAUUUUCAUGCCGCUAUAAUCACAAACAAACAAAAUGCAAGGUUCAAGCACAUUAAUGAAAAUUAUUAGCACUAAAAUUUUCAAGAUGCCAUAAACACAAACAAACAAAAUGUGGGGUUCACUACCAUAAGUAUUGAAUCAAAGAGAGAAAACAUGUGCUUCCAAUUGAACAUGUCUAGAUUAGUUUCUUCUGCCGAAACACCUGAAACAUAGGUUGGAUUUUAUACUAUUAUCGCCAAGGUCCAUAGGACCAAGACCCAUGCCGAUAGGCCACCAGUACGGUAUGAUAUUGUACCGUUCUGUUUUGGCAUGUACAGAUGAAGGAAUGUCGGAGAGGGUGAAGGAGAGAGAGGGGAGAGGGAGGAAGGGGGAGACAGAUGCUGGGAGAGGGAGAAAGGGGGCUUGGAAGCCCUCCUCUCCUUUGCUCGGGCCGCUGAGUGGAGCCCCUGCUUCAUUUGAAACACAAGCUUGGGGUGAACAGAGAGAGAGAGGGGGGAGGGAAGGAGGAAGAGAAAGGGAGAGGGAGGCGGAGCAUGAAAGAUGCUAGGAGUGGGUGAGAGAGGAGGCUCAAAAGCCCUCCUCUCGUCGUCCACUCGUCUGCAAGGGGUGUUGGACAAAGCCCUUAUUUCGAAUUGGACAGUUCGGGACGGUACAGCAAUCCUCUAUUAUCACAUUAAUUAUGGUUGUCAACACCGUUGGAGGUGUACAAUUUAAGCAUUAAAGGGAAAGGAGAAUGUGUCAUGUAGCAUGCAGACCAUUGUGACUUUAGGAUAUCUAUGGAAUGAUUGAACAUUCAUAACCAUGUCACAAAAUGUCAAGAAAUUUUACUACCUCCAAGGACAAAAUAUCAGAAACCGGAAGCAAAAUGAAUAAAACUCAAAUUUAAUAUCAUAAGCCAAAUAAUACUCGUUGCAACCCUUGACAGAGGAUAGUCAUUUUCACUGGAAUGCAAUUUGCAAAUGGUUCUUAUUUAGUAAUAACCAAUAAAAGAUAAGCAUAUGAAAAUACUUAGAAAAUCAAAGAAACCAUGACAUGCAUACCAUAUGCAUGUCACAAUAGCAACAAAUAAUAAGUCGUCAUCCAAUGAUACUUGUUCCACUCAAUGAAACACUACAGGGGGGGAAUCUAUAAAGCAAGCUACAAUUGGAUGCUGGAUAAAACAAGCUCCUUGCAACUUACACUGACAAGUACUGGUGAUUUUUCCUUUUUUCUCUUUUUUUAUUGUCAAGAAACUUUGUUUUCAAACUACCAAAAAAAGUUACAGAAAGCAGCAAAAAGAAAGCUUGAAUCCCAUGAAGAGAAGCAAAAAAGGUAAACAGCAACCAUUCCUUAAGAAACUAAUGGAGUAAAAUCUAUAGCCAAAGAGAAGGAAAAAUAAACUUGAGGCACAAAAAAAACAAGCCAAAUUAAAGUCUAAUAAAAAUUUAAAGUAUGCAUUCAUAAUGCAGUCUAAGUGAAAGAAUGUUUUACAAAUGCAAAACAAUAAUUUACAUUCCGAAUCAUUGAAUGGAAAAAGUUCAAUACAAAGUCAAAGCAAAAUUCAUAAAUAUUCACAUUAAAUAAAGAUAGAAGGAAUGCCCUAUCAGAGUAACUAUGACAAAAGCAUCCUUGGAUGUAACUCCAUAGCUUUCAAAAAUUAUUCCUCAUUUAGGGACUAAUUUCGAUAAAAGGACAAGGUGGAACAUUACAAUCAAAACAGUGCUAGCCGAUAUUUUAGCAAAAAGAAAAAUAUAUGUCAGCAACCAAAACCACAUUGUGCUGAAAAUCCAGAAUGGGUGGCCAGUGGAAUAUAGUUUAACCAGCACCAUCUGCCAGGGAGAUAUAAAUUUAUAUUAAAUCUAUACAAAUCAAGUCAUACAUACCAUUGACUCCAUCAAAAUUACCUCCAAGGUAGGGGUGAAAGUGGAUCGGAUAAUGGAUCCAUUUUCUUAUUUAAAUCUAUCCGGAUAUGGAUAGAAAUUUGAGCAUCCGACAUAUCCAUAUCCAUAUCUGUCAAAGAAAAAUGGAUAUGAAUAUGAACAGACAACUAUCUGAUCCAUAUCCAAAUAGAUGAUUCUACUUACAACCCUAUUUAAUUUUAUAUAGCACUCAUAAACUUUUACAGAAAAUGAAUAAUCAUAUUAACAUGCUAUUAACUUAAUAUAUUAUCCACUUAAUAAUAUUUUCGAUUCCAUGAUCAUAAAAUUUAAUUAUUUGAAUUAUAUCCUAAUUUAUAUCCAUGCCCUCAAUAUCUAAUCUGUAUCCAUAUCCAUAUCUGUUUAAAACAAAUAUAGAUAUGAAUUUUUGUACCUGACUAACAUCUAUAUCCAUAUCAAUAUUCGUCAAACAAAACAAAUAUAGAUAUAGAUAUACUAGUAUUAGAACCGAUACAAUUUCAGCCCUACUCUAAGGUGAUGUUCUUUUGGAGUGAAGAGAAAUGAGGCAUCCACAAAUCAAAAAUCUAAUGCGAGCAUAAACUCGAUGCACAUCAACUACUAAAAAGUCAUCAACUCUACUAUAACCUAUUUCACAAGACCCUUGUGCAUGUUAGUCAAGCGUUGUUCCAUUAAUCAAGGGCCACCUCCUCUCUAAAAUACAUAGCAAGAAAUAGCUUAAGGUGGCAUAACAGAGAAGCAUAUCCUAAUAACUUGAAAGGGAAAUCAGCAGGCUUUCAUAUAGCACCCUGAUGGGAGAAUGCAUUUUCUAUUUAUAUUUGUUUCUUAACAACUGCCUCAAAAUUAUGGAGAGAUAGUCAUAAUGCAUGCCAAUUAAUGAACAAGAGGAGUAUAGUUAUAAAUGCUAAGUAUACGACUAUGAAAGAGAGGACCCAUGAUUUUGUCUGAAGUUUGCCUCCUCAUUAACCAGCAAUCAAAGCAUCACAUUCAUUUGUGUGCCAAUGCUAGUGUCCACCAUAACAAUGUAAUUACAUAUUGAGAUCUAUAAUAAUUGCAUAAUAUCUAAAUUAUCUAAAGCGGAAUUGGGUGCAUGAAAGUUCCGAGUGCAAGUCCAGAGAAGCAGGGUUUUCUUUUUCUUUUUAAGAAAAAAUGGAACGUGUUUAAGAAGCAGAUGCAAGCAGGUUGCUGGAGAGAAGCAAGCACAGAACCUAGGUAGAAGUUUCCUACGACUAAGCUCAGUACACAGCUACUCACCCAUGACACAUGUUACACCAACUUAUAUCCAUACAAAACAGAUGUCAUCCUAAAUAUUCUGUGCCUUUCAAUGUAGCUACAACAAUCCAAUUUUUUCCAACUUAAUAUGCAUUAGCAAAAAACUGAAAAAACAUUCCAAUUCCUGUAAAAGAAAAGGAUACCUUUUUUCCAGGCCUCACAAGCCUCAAUGCUACUUCCGCUGCAGUGUUAGAAGCUGCAAUUACAUCUGCAGCCCUUCCCGUCACCGGCCCUUCCUGGAGGACAUGAGUGUGCGCCACUACUGCAAUAAACCCAUCUAUAUGGCAUCCAAUAUCACUGCAACACAGAGAAAAAGCAGAGAUGACUCAAUAUGCUUCUCAUUAAGUUGUUCAAAUAAGUACAACUAUCAUGAUUAAUUCAUACAUUUUCACAAUGUCAUUCUCCUCCAAAACCGUCUCAUCUCCUGCCAGGGGUGAGAAAUGGCACACGGUGUUAUUCACAGAGAUGCAUGUUGGGAACGCCACACCCCUCUCUAUCUUCUUCUUCACAUUUUUGUACAUGUUUCCCGCUUGCCUAAUGCCACCAUCGACAACCCAACCUUCUUAUAAAUUUAUCAACUCUACUUUGUAAACAACAAAAUGACAGUAAAUAGAUGUUUUAGAAAAAAAUAACCAGUAGAUAAUAGAGAAUUACUCUCGGAUAAAGGCAUCGCCUUUCUCACAAAUAUCUACGAUCUUCGCCUUGGGCUUGCACUCGGACAGAACCAGCUGGAGAGCCUCUGUUUCCACACCAAAAAAUCAUAAUUUUCGUAAAACUUUAGAUAACAAAGACCCCAAUAAUCAUCCGAAACUAAAAAUAAAAAUAAAAAAGAGAAUACUAGGGUAUCGAUCACGAAUCGAACGGGAAGCAAAGAGGGAACGAUAUGAGAUCCUUACUGUUGACGAUCUCUGCCGCGCUCUUGUACUUGGUGACAACGUCACUGGACGUGAGAUCGAGCUCCUCCUCCUUCGCUUCGUCGUCCGACAUCUCUCUAAACCCAAAACCCCUAAAAUUUCAAAAAUCGACAAAAAAUAAAAAUUCUUGAUACAGAGGAGAAUCAGCGGAAGAUAAAGAACAGAUCAUUACCGGAGAAAUCGAAUGGACAAAUUUAUUUUCUAAAUUAGGGUUUGGUGAGAAAGAGGAGAGAAACCAAACCGCCCCCUCAAGGUCUGAGGUUACGUCAAGGGGCUAUCAGGGGUGAGAGAGAGAGGAUUAGGGCUUUACGAAACCCGGUCGGGGGGAGGUGGCGCCGUAAGCGAUGGAGAGCGCUUUUAGGGCAUCACCCACCGUUCAUCCUAAUUUAUAGGUCUGCGCACGUGCAAUGCACGUGCUACAUCGGGCAAAUGCAUUUUGUGAUGAAAUUUCCUUUUUCUUUUUAAAUUUUUCCUAAGCCUUGAGCACGUUUUCCAUAAAGGGAUUACCCAAAAAUAUAGUAGGUUUUUUUUUAUUUUUUUGGUACAUCGGCAAUUUACACUAGUCUUGCAUGAGCAUUACCAUUAGAAUCAAGAGAUAAAUACUCUAAAGAGGUAGAGAAACAAAUACAAAGUUAAACUCCACUUUCAUAAUUGACAAAUUUAUUAGAAAUACAUAGUAAACUAGUACUGCAGUGUUGUCGUAACUAUUGCACAAACAGGUGAGUGAGGGUGACGAUUAAUUGUGAUCAUUCUCCUAAAUGAUUAGCUCAACGAAGCACACCUUCAAAUACAAAUUGGUAUUGAAAUAUCAUAAUCUUAUAGACAAGUAUCACAAAUUUGCUGGUUUUACUAAAUUAACUAUCUUAUGUUGGAAUUUUCAAGGAAAUCACAAAACAAAAAUGCUUGUCAUGCUAAAAAAAUGGAGAAACUUGGAAGCUUCUAACUUCAUCAAUUAUAAAAGUUAUAAAUAACAAAACUUGGCAAUGCUUUGACGGACACCAUGCUGGAUCAAAAAGAAUAAUAAGAAGACUACAAAGCUCUGGAAUAAACAUAACAAAUGACAACAUUUAGUUAGGAUAUCUUGAGAGGGCUAGUUAACUACUAUCUGAUCAAUAUUACGUCCUCAUCAUAUGUGAAGAACCCAGUUGACUCAACGCAGUGAGCCAUGUCUACCCAGGCUUCCGAGUGUGGAAAGCAGGCUGUGUCGAAGGUCGACAGACUGGCAGGAAAUCGCAUGUGAGAGAGGGAAGAGAAGACUGGAAUCGUUGAUUCCGCGCGCGUUCUUCUUUUCCAACGAGAUUUCUCGUUGUCGAUUGCGAGAAAACUAGAUUGAUCAGGUGGCCUCCUCCCCCCAGUUUCUUCUCCUUUAUCGGUUGCCAUGGCCACACGACCUUCUCCUCCAUCUGCCUCUCUCUUCUCCUAUUCUUCCAUCUUUAUCUUUCUCCGUGCAUCUUCCUUUCUCUGCUUCGAGCUCGUCGUGGCCCAUCUCUGUCUGAUUCAUGGUUGGAGUGCAUCGUUGGAGUAAGGCAAUAGCCCCGACCUCCUCCCACAUGCUCCUCUCUGUUGUUCUUCUCUUUGCCAGCACUGCCACCUCCAUUGGUGGCCGUUUCCCCACCGUCGGGCUCCUGCAACCGGCGCCCUCGCUGUGCCCAACCCUACUGGGCCAUCGUGCCCUUCCCCCUCUUCCCCCCAUUCUAGUGAGGGUGCUCCCCUAUUUUGCCGAAGAAAAAAAAAAGUAAGAAGAGAGAGAGAGAGAGAGAGAGAGAGAGAGAGAGAAGGNNNNNNNNNNNNNNNNNNNNNNNNNNNNNNNNNNNNNNNNNNNNNNNNNNNNNNNNNNNNNNNNNNNNNNNNNNNNNNNNNNNNNNNGGUGGAUCCGUAACAGGAUCCGAGACCAGUGUCGUGGCGACCGCUUGGGCCGGCCUUUUCUGCCUCUUUUCUCCGGUCAAGAUACAACGUCAGAUCAAGUCCAUUUCGAUCCCAUAGAGCUUUUUAUUUUGCAUUUAAAUUUUUAAAUAAUUCAAUGUAAAUUAAUUUAUUUUUUAAAAUGAUUUUGAAAGGUGCAGUAGAUUUGCUAAUGAUCUUUAGGCAACCAGAAGCAAGUAACCUUAAGACAAGCCUUACUGUUGUUGAUGUACCGAUCAACUUCAAAAAUGAAGAUAUAGAUUAUGUUUGAUAUGACAGUCUCCAUAUUUUUUUAAAAAUUUAGAAUCAUGAUUGUAAAUGAUUUAUGUAUAAAUUAUGGACUUUAAAUUAUGAAAAAUUACAUUUUUAUUUAAUAAUGAAAAAACUUUGGACCAUUUUUAUUAUUGUAUUUGAUGAGAUAAAAUUUCAUACAAUUUUUUUUUAUAAGCUUUGUGUUAUUGCGGGCGAUACCGUACAGUAGCACCAACACAUCAUAUUCCAAAUUUAGGACGUGACAGCAUGACCUAUUAGUAGAGACAAAGCUGGAGUUGAUAAUUGGCUGAGUGGGGUGUGGACGUGUGAUCUGCGGCAAUACUCGUUGGUAAAUGAUAUAGCUGAGAUCCAAGGAAGUUGAAGGAUGAAAGAUGAUCCGCUCUAGGUGGUCUAUUUAAUGUUUGAUAGCUGAAUGAAAUGCUAUUCUAACUAUGUUCUGUUCUUGUGUGGUUUCAAUAAUUCAAUCUUAGGAAGUUUUCUUUUUAUACUCUUGUGCAUAAUCUCUCUUGUAUUGUACGUUGUGAUUCUGCAGUCUGCUCUAUGAGAUUUAUCCAGAGAAUCUUCCUCCCCAGGUGGUGCAAGGGCUCAAUGUGUUUGCUGAAGAUGCUAUUGUUUUUGCAGCUGACACAUGGCAUAGUGUAGGUCUUUUUCUCAUUCUAUAUUUACUUCUGAUCGUGAGAAUUACGUGAGGAUGGAAAUAAUUUAUUACUGACGCUGCAUCAUUGUAGAGACUUCUACAUAGUUAGCGGCACAUUCCUAGUUCUUGCACUUAGCAUAAAUCCAUUUUAAAUGAUGAGAGUAAUGCAGUGCCCAUGCAUUUGGGGCCUAAGACGAAAUCACUUAAAGAGACCUUUUUUUUGAAAAAUGAUGAAAAACAUUUAAUAAGUGCAAGGGAGCAAGGAUCUGGACAAAUUUCACCAGAGUUUAUUAGCUUAAAUUCAAGAUUAUAAAAAAUGAAGAACCAAAGAAAAACUUAAGAAAUAAAUUAGCUUAAGAAAAAAACCAAAUAUUUUCUAUCAAAGCAAUAAAUUCAAGAUUAGAAUACCUUCACAUGUAUAAAACUUGAAAAAGUGUUGACCCAGAGAGGCCCAUACAACAUGAUAAAAUGCUUACCGCUUUACCUUGUCAUUAUAGUAAAGAUCACAAAGUAAGUUAACCAAACUGGCUUCGCUAAGUCCAUUGUUUGGAUGCUCGGCAUAUAACUAGCUUGGCUCUGCAAAAUAAAUCCAAGUCCAUAAUUAAGUUAUAUUUGGUGCUUGAACGUAAUGCUUUCAUAAUUAUUAAGUCAAAAGUUGCAACAGAAUAUACCUGAUAUAAUAUAUCUAUUAUGAGCAUUAUAUAUCUAAUAAUCAUAUACCUGCAUUGGGAUAUAAUAUAUCGUACAUAUCAACUGCUUGACAAAACAAUAAUAGAUAAUUGAUAGUGACUAAGAAAAGUAAGAAAGCUAUCAUUGAAAAAUUUUACUUAAUCAGUUAAUUGUAGAGAUAUUCUUAAAUAAACUUAAGCAUAUACUCCUUGUUACAUGAUCUGUUCCUCUUGGGUUAUUCCAUAUAUGAUGGAUUUAAUGCCUCAAAUGUUAAGAGAGAAAAGAAGGCAGUUCACUUUGACCUUUUUAUUUUGGUGGAGUUUAAACAUUUUAUCAGAUCAUGCAUGAAAAGAGAAAAGUCCAGCUAAAUAAACAUGUUCAAAAUAAAUGGCUACAAUCGGUAUCCAGCAGUACAGUCUUGCCUUGCCAUUUCCAGAACCAAUCGAGCCUCACAAUAAAGAAGCAACUUAAAAUUGUCACAAAGCCUGAUUGCUAGUGGCAUUAGAAGGGCAGUGCCUGAGAAAUCUGCUAACGGAACAUACAUCUAAAAGAUAGCGUUCGAUAUUUUCCAGUUGUCUUAUAUGUCAUCAUUGGUCAUAAAAAGAAGGAAGAGAAUAGACAGUAGGGGAGGAAAGAGGAAUCUCUACGGGAGCAAAACCUUUGCUAUUGAAGUUACAAAAAAUUGAAAAUAUGUGGCCACAAGGGAGUAGAUUCAAAACCUUUAAAAAUGUAAUAAACACUAAUCCCAGCAUACAAUCCCCAAUCUUGAACAACCAAAAUAGAAGAUUUGAAAUUUGGGUUCUCACAACCUGAGCAACCAUCAAUGCAAGAUCCCCACCCCAAUCUUCCAAAGGUCUCCAAAUUAUAUGACUUGUGGGGGAGACAAAGAACAAAUAAUCUGAAGAAAUUAAUUAUAGUAAAGACAUUAGAGAAACCAUGAAAAAGCUGAAUCUUUGAAGGGAAACAAAAAGGAAUUUCAAAGCAAAGAAGGGGAGAAAGAGGCUCAGAUUCACCACUUAAUCCAGCAUUGAGUUAGCAUUCAAGUCUCUGAAACUACAAGCCUAAGCGGCUGCAUAAGUUGCCUGUAGAAUGGUAGCAGCAGAACUGCCAAGAUUGCCUUAGCCAUUUCUACUUCGCAAUGCAGCAAGACCCUUGCCUAGGAAUCAUCACAGCCCUCUUCAUAUAAAACUAAAACAGGUGCCGCUUGCCCAAUCUGGGGAACAAAAAAUGAAGAAGAAAAGAAAAGAAAGAAAGAGAAAAAGAUGCUAAGGAGGAAGAAGAAGACCUAAGGCUCAGCGAUGCGAUGGAAUUCUUGAAUGGAUGAGACCGAAAGAUCCCCCACUUUGUCUCCUCGAGUGACCUCUCCAUCCAACAAUGGUUGUACACUGGUUGUCUGCAGAACAGCAAGCCUUCCAAAGUUGCCUCGCCCAUGCCCAUCGGUCAAGAAGGAACACAGAGAGGAGAGAUGAGAUGGGGGUCAAUUUCAAGAACAGCUUUAAGCUGCAGAAAGGCUAUGUCUGGUUCAAGAAUUAAGAUGACAAGUGAUAGGAAUAAGACAAAGAUAAGGUAAAAGAAGAAGAUGAGAGAAGCAGCAUUACGGUAACAAAAAAAACCUUCCUAGAUGCCAAAAGCCUCAUAUUAAAAACAACCAAAUGCUUUGAAGGCACCUUUGUUUCCACACAUAACAAUACUAUCAGGCAUACAAUCCCUAAUCUUGAACAACCAAAAUAGAAGAUUUGAAAAUUUAGGUUCUCAAUUUCCGAGCAACCAUCAAUGCAAGAUCCCCACCCCAAUCUUCCAAAGGUCUCCGUAUUGUAUGGAUUCUUGGGGAGCCAAAGAAAAAUUUAUCUGAAGAAAACUAAAUAUAGAGAAGGAAUUAAAGAAAUCUUGGGAAAAGAAAAUGCCAAACGAAGCGGAGGAAGAGUCCCAGAUUCACCACUUAAUCCAGAAUUGCGUUGUAAGUCUUCAAGAUGACUAAGCUGCUGCAUCCAGUUGCCUUCAGAACAUCCGCAGAGGGUCCAAGAUUGCCUUGCUGUCAGAAAUAGCUGUUUUCUACUUCGCGAUGCAGCAAAAAAACCCCUAUAUCGAUGCCAGUUUCCCAGUUUGGGGAACAAAAAAUGAAGAAGAAAAGCAAGAAAGAAGAAAGGAAAGAAAGAGAAAAAGAAGCUAAGAAGAAGAAAGAGAAACAGACCUUGGGCUCAGAGGUUCCGGGAUUCUUGAAUGGAUGAGACCGAAACCGAAAUAUCCCCCCUCCCUUCUACAAUGGCUGCAUACUGGUUGCCUGCGGAACAGCAGGCCUUCCAGAGCUGCCUCGCCCAUCGUUCAAGAAGAGAACAGAAGACAAGCCGAGGAGAUGAGAGACGAGUUGAACAACCAAAACAGAAGAUUUAAGAAUUUGAAUUCUCCAAACCCUAGAGACCAUCGACGCAAGAUCAUUCAGCAGUCUCCAAAUAGUAUGAAUUCUUGGGUUGCCAAAGAAAAAAUUAUUUAAAGAAAAUAAGUAUAUCGAAGAAAUUAAAAUUAAAAAGCGGAGGAGGAGGACGGAGAAGAAAAGAAAGAAAGAGAAAAAGAAGCUAAGAAGAAGGAGGAGGAGAAACAGAAGGAGACCCAGGGCUCAGAGGCUCCGUGGGAUUCUUGAAUGGAUGAGACCGAAACCGAAAGAUACCUCCAUAGAUGCCAAGAGCCGUCCUGGUAUCAAGAGAGCCGGAGAGAGAACAACGAUCGGUACUUCGGUAGCACUGCGACUCCCUUUAUAGCCGCAGGUCUUACAGCCGUUACAAAGUCUCCGAGGCAAACAUCUUACACGUGUUAAAGAGCACGCGCCCGUCCGUGUUGGUUUGGCCCGCGGGGCGGGGCGGGGCACGCACGAUAGCAACGGUGUCACAGAUGCCUGCAUUCGUUAUUGGCACUGCCUUGUGUUUUACAGUGUAGGCAUGCUGUGCUGGGCUAGCCUGGUGCAACUAGAAACACGAGAAAGCUUGGCUGGGCUAAGGCUAAAUUUAUCUCCCAAAAUAGAAUCGGAAUUUCGCCUUUUUUUAUGAGAAGGAAAAUCGAGCCACAUUUAAUAAAAAUGUUAUUUACAUGGUAUAUUUAUGGAAAAACAAAGUAGGAACAGAAGCAAAAGGAUAGAAGCGGAGAUGCGGACACACAGAAAAUCCAGCACAACAUUGACAGUUGAUGAGCCUCCAGGUUCGGCAGUGCAGAAGGGGCAAUCUUUUAUAUACAUUCAAAUUACUUCUGUGCUGUUGUAAGGAAACAAGAAACAGACCACCUUUUGCUCAGAAAAAAAGAAAAAGAAAAAAAAGGAAACGAGUCACUUGGUUAGGGUUCCAUAUAUACAGUUGAGAAUCAUCUGCAUGCAGCAUCGACCCCAUUUACAUCACCUGUGUCAAGUAUUAACCCUCAUCACGGAUUCAUACGAUUGUAAAUCUGCAUUGCACUCAGAAGCGGUCCAAUACAUUUGGAGGCCUAAAACAGAUUCAGCGAAUGAGCCUUUUUUUUUAAAUAAUAAAAAUUUUUAAUAGGACAAAAUAUUAAAAAAAGAUAUAAAAAUAGAUAGCCAUUAAGUACAUUAUUUCAACAAAAAUGCAUAUAUGCAAUAAAGACAGAUAAAGAGUCUUGCCUUUUUCAAUUUAAUAUAAUUAUGCUUUUAAAAGGGCCCAUGAAACUGAUUAAAUAACUGAGAUAAUGCUUGAUAGUACUGUUUACAAUGUCAAGCAAGGUAAAGGAAAGAAUUUGUCCAGAAAGGAACCGCUGUCUAAGAGAAUGUAGGGGCAUUAUGGGAAAUUCACUCCAUCUAAUUAAUAAAUGUCCCAUCCCACUAUCUCCCCUUCAAGUGAGUACCCAAGGGGCAACUGCAAGUCUGCAACAUCACAGCACGGCAGCCAUUCAGCGCCCCCUCUCCCUCCUUUUCUCUCUCUACCACCCAAGAGGGGGAGAAGAAACAGAGAGGAGAAAAUUAAAAGAAUCUCCACCCUCCAAGAAGUCCCUCUCCAAUCCCCCUAUCUUCCUUCCUGAUGGCCCAGCUGGAUCAGAAGUAAUGUGAGGGAAGGAAAACCAAGGCCGAAACCAAAAAAGAGAAGGGACUUCUUCUCCUUCUUCUUCUUCUUCUCCUUAUAAUUCUAACGUGAGUACAUCCAGCCAUAUCAAAAGAAAGUAAAGAGUACAUAGUAAAAGGUAUCUCUCCUACAUAUAUUCAAAUGAUCUUCCCAGAAUGCCGGACAACAAAUGAGGCAACUCAGUCUGCUACUCUGGUCGCCUCCCUAAACACGUGUAAAGCCUGAAAAUCGAUCAGCUCCUAAGCCAACCUACGAGUAUCAUGGAUAAGGAGAUGACCAUUACUAUAUCUGUCCACUCCCCUAACCCAAUCAAUCACAACAGAGGAGUCCCCCUCGAGGCAUAUAUGCUCAGCACCAAGUAUCCGUCUCGCAUAGGAUAUCCCCUUCCAAGCUGCCCGCAGCUCCGUGCCAACAACAGAAAGUCCAGACGUAUAACGGCCACCAGCUGCUAUCAUCCUUCCGAAAUGAACUCUGAUCACAAAACCAAAACCUCCGGACAACCCGUCUACCGACAUACUACCAUCGAAGUUCACUUUGAGAUAACCAAGAGGUGGGAGUACCCAAGAAACAAGAGCGAACCUCCUCUUUCUUUCUCUCCACCCAAAACAAAACUACCGUCCCCAACUUCGCAAAUUGCCCCUAUGCAGGCCAGGAAACUCUCCACCUCCCUUCCAUGAAGGGGGAAGAAGACUCGUAGCCGGCUCCUGUUCCCAUUUUAUAUGGGGCCUUUGCUUUUUUUUGGUCAGCCUCCCGAAGGCCUUCCAUUGAUCCGAGGCCUUACUAAUACUCAAAUUUUAAUCAAUGAAUUAUUUAUUUCUUGGGUGGAUUUUCGGUAUUUCUUUUUUUUGUGUGGUGGAUUCAAAUGUACUCUAGUGGAUUCUAGAAGCAAGUCGUGGAAAAUUUCGCAAAACAUCAACAGGGAGUUCGUGGAUAUCACUGAGUCACAAUAAACUUAGAAGUACGUUCGUAGAUUUCGAACUCGACAAAGACCUCCUUUUUUGUGCGGAGAAGUUCACAAAGACCGGAAAAAUAAAGCGACCAAUUGAAUCAACUCGUACUUCAUUCAGAGCAUAAGCCGAUCCCUUGACAAUACACCAGAAUUUCAUCAUUCAAUGACAUGUACCUCCCACUAAAUUCGCAUGGCCCAAGAAGCAAUUUACCAUCACUUAUGGAACGAACCAGAAGUUCAGAGACAUCGAUUCAGUAUGGCGCCUGUAAUGCUUUCAAAAAUAAUCUAUUUGCCAAAAUCAUCCGGUCAGCCGUUUCGGCACGGACACCAGCCACCUACAGGUCCUGAGCAGCCUCCACAGAUCUCCAUUCACGGAAGAGCGAUCGCUAAUGGUUAUAAAAUUGGUACCCAUACUACUUUUUGUAUUUUACUCUAGUAGCUUGCGCGGUUCGAAUUGCUGCAUCAGAUAAACCAUCUCAACAGCUAAAUUUCAUUAUACUCAAACCAAGUCAAUUAUUUCAAAAGUUGAAUUCUCUCUUGAAGGCUUGACUUCAGUGUACUGCAAAUUUCUAACAGCAGACCAGCUGCUUCAAGGCUUUAAUUGCAACAAGAAUAUAAAUAACAUACAAAACCAAUCUAUCCAAUACACUGGGAAAUGAAAGCAACAACACAGCAAAAGAAUACAGCCGAUGACGGAGGAUUCAAAGAAAAACUGCCUAUUGAAUAUAUCAAGCAAACCUAUGCACAUGGCAUGCAGCCAUUGUUCACAACAAAUCUAACCACACUAUUUUCUGAUCAUGUGACAUUUAGCCUCCACACAGAAUCCUCAACUCGGCCUAAACAACAGCAAAUGAUCGCCUGCUACCAAAAGAAUAAUAAUGGCAACUGGUGUUAGCUACAUUAUGAUAACUAGUGGCCACUGCUGCUUCAACCAACUGCACCACCAGGAGAGAGAAAAAUAUCUCGAACCUUCUCCAACUGGCAUCAACCUCUGAAGACUAUCAGUAGCUCCCCACUGGGGGCAUACCAAAUGGAGGCAUUGGAGGCAUGCCCAUCCCACCCACUGGCGGUUGUGGGGCUGAAAAAGGUCCGCCCAUGCUAGGUCCUCCCAUGCCUGGCAUCGUUGGAGCUGGCAAUGCAAGUGGCAGCAACUGUGCGUACAUAUUCUGCAAAAUAACACACCCAUUGUCAAACAAGCAAGACAAAAAAAUGCCAAGAAACAAAACUGCAUUUACGAAGGGAUUGCAAGCACCUGCUGUGCAACCAAAUCCUUCUCAUCCUUCUCUUUAGAUUUGACUUCACUUUGUGCUUCAAUUUUGUCUUUUAUGAGUUCAUCUACUUUGCCACUGUACUCACGAAUAUACUGCACAGACACCAGAUGUUUGUCAUAGUGACAAAUUAAGAUUGUCAAAAGAUAAAAAGGACGAUAUGAAGGUUAACUACACUAGCACAACCACUCUAGUAAAAGAUCACCUGCAAGAGGUACGGGAAAGCAAAGUCAAUCAUGUUGUUCAUCCAGGCAAGCUCAAGGGCAACAUCAGGCCGAAUCAAGUCAUAACAUAUGAAGAGACAUGAAGCAAAGCAUUCCUUCUUUCCCUGCAACACAAAACAGGACCUCAGAUACAUUUCCUAAUUGACAAUUAUAACACCCUAGAGAAAGGAAAUAGUAGAGCUAUCACUUAUUAAACAAUCAAGUAAAAGAAAUGAAUGAUAACAUGUGUUUCUUAAUAACUGAUGAUCAGGAUUCUCCUUUUAAGAAGGCAAAAAGCUUCUAAAAUCGUUCAAAGUUAAAAAUAUCUAAUUAUUGCUCAUCUCGCUAUCGCACACUAUAUGCCUCGAGCAAAGAGGAUACAAACGAUUCAGGUUAUUAAGAACCAAGAUUUGCCGUACCGGUACCGGAGCCAUACCAGUGCCAUACUAGCAUAGUAUCGAUACGGUACAGUAUGAGAUUUUUUUUUACAUAUCAAAGGUGGUACGCUAUCUGUACCGAUACCAGUAUGGUACGCCCGGUACCAUCCGGUACGCCAUACCAUGUUGAGAACGGUAUAUUAGAUUGAGAAUCAAAAACCACCAUAUGGCUACAAACAUAAAGAAUUUCCUCAUUUUCACUAAAAUUUAUAUAAAAUGCAAUUAGGAAUUACUUUAAGCAAUUAUACCAUCAUAAGAUGAAGUUACUAGCAAAUUUAAUAACAAAUCUUAAGUUGCUUUAUAUGAUUAUAUCAUCUACGAGUUUGUCAAAUACUACAUUUUUUUAUUAAAAAAUCCAUGAAUUACAUUCAAGAUACACAUAGAUAUAGUAUCUCAAAGAAUUCUGUGCGCAAAAAAUACUUCUAAUAAUAUACUUAAUUAUUGAAAAGGCUUUAUCAACUUUUACAAGAAAAAAAAUUCUCCUGAGUAUUCAAAAAAAUUAUAUAGCUUUUGCUAAUUACAUGUGCAAUAUAAUAUCAAUAAUCACUUCUCAUACAAAUGCUAUCAUACGUAUAACUCACUAAUGCUUAAAUCUACAAUGCUCAUAUAUUGAGACAUUUGUACUCCUUGGCCAAAAUGCUAUCUUGGGUUAUCCUUGCAUAUCUGAAUAGGCAUGGCUUCCCAUGUUUGUGCCAAGAAAAUGCAUAGAAAUAAUCACAGAAUUAGUGCCCAAAGGAACAUGGUGGCACCACACAUCACUUCAAUCAGCAGCUAGAAAAGAAACUCGGUUACAUAUGUCUAAAAUGGUAAAUUACAUAUGACUGGCCCAUAUACAAAAUAUUGAAAAAAAAUAAAAUCCUUGUGGCAUAGAUAACAUAAAGCAGUUGAAUACAUUACCUUUCCAAGUUUAACAAGCAAGCAAAGAAUGAGAUUUUAAUGUUGCAUAAGGUGUUAUAAAGCAAGAGAAAGAAUAGUAUAUCACUCAAUCAAGGAAAAUCCUAACAAGGAAUUCAUAUAAUGAAUAACAAAAAAUCUGAUUAGUGAGUUUUGCGCAUUUAAUUUAACUGGUGAAAAAAACAGCUGCCAUAUUUAUAGUGGAGUUAACUACAAAAAAACAAUAGUGCAACAUAAUAAACAGUAGAUAGGUAAGCAUUCUGCGUCCACAAGCCCAUCACCUGCUCAAUGAAAUAAACAAGCAACUCUUCCGAGAGCUCACGGUCACCAGACUGUGAGCAUGUCUCCAUGGCAUCUUUGUACAGGUUGUCCUUCUUGGACAGAGCAAUGGACUGCUUCCACCUCCCUGCUUUCUUAUAGAUAUAUGCAGCAAUCCUCCUCAUCUCCAGAAGCUCAUGCUUCUCAAUCUAGUCAAUGACAUGACAUUCAUCAGCCAAAAACUCCACAAAUGCAUGCUUCAAGUCUAAAACAUGCAACAAUUUUACCUUCUGUGCUAGACCUAUCUGAUCAAAGUUGUCAUGCAUAUCAACUGAUUCCCGUAACCUGUCAUAGUCCUCCUCCUCAAUAUAAAUUCCAUUCAAUGCUUCAUUAACAGCAGCUACAUUGUUACUUUGUACUGCAACCAUGUACGGUUUCACAAGAUGCAAGUGACCAGCCUGAAACAAGGUAAAAGGAAGUUAAGAACAAGAUUUCCUUACAAUACAAAUGGCUACCAUCUGGCACCAACAAGACCUUUCAAACUUUUCUUCAUUUCACUAAACAAACCAGAAAGGGAAGAAGAUAGUGAAUGUUAGUAUAUACACCUUCCGCAUUAUGUCAACUACACGUGUGUGAUCCACACGAAGGGCAAGUACAUUAAGGAUAUCGUUAAUCAGGUCGGGAUGUUCUUGCAGAUAGAAAUGCACUGCCUUGUAAUAGAGCUCAACAUUUGCAACCUUGACUACAACAUCCUUGAACUGCAUGUGAUCCCAUGCAUCGGGAGAAUGGUUCAUUAUAGUGGUGGCAGCAUUGUCAAACUCAUCAUACUGUAUAUACAGAUAGGUGAGCUCUUUCCAGUGCUGCUGCUCAUCACAUACACGGAUAAGCUUGGGAAUGUUGAGACGGGUAGAGAAAAGUCUAAUAUGCUCCAUCAGUUUUUCUGGUCGGUAUCUUGCAUACAGCACUCCCAACUCUGUAAAAAUACCCAUGUGUGCACGUUCCAAUCCAAGGCCACUCUCCAUAAGUGAAAUUAGCUCAUUGAAGCAUCCCCUGUUCUGGUAAUAUUCACUGACUUCUUCCAAGUCAUCCACCUGAACCAUUAAAAUAAAUAGAUCAUGAUGAUUUUUAUAUAGAAUAUAAAGCUUCUAAAAUGACUGAGCAGUGAUAUUCUAAAAUACUAGGCAGAGAUAUUGUUUUCUUCAUGAAGGAUGAUUACCUGUAUAAUGAUAUUCAGACCACAAAUUUGGGCCAGGCGGAAUUCCUCAGCAUCAACACAGGCAAAACAAACCUCCUUCCAUGUCUUUGAGCUGUUUGCUUUGCGAGCAGCAUCAACUGCACCUUGGAACUGCUUCAGCUUGACUAAUGUACUAGCCAGCUUAGCCCAGUUGGAAAUGAAGGCAAAUAUUAUCUUAGCAGCUUCAUAAAGGGCAUCAUCAAAUAAACGAUCACCAACAUUUUGGAGAUUAGCAACAUUUGGCAUAAGAAUGAAUUCUUCUAUUUCACCUAGUCUAUCUAUCUUCGCAUAUGCAUAAAUAAGUUCGCCAUCCACCUUUGGCUCUUUGGCCUUUUGUCUCACCAUCAGCAAGUACUUCACUAAGUCAUGAUACACGUUACCUGCCUCAGCAGCCCUAAUAACAUCAAGGAAUUGGGUUGCAUCAUCCGCACGGAUGAAUGAUUCAAUGGCAUCACUUACUAACCCUUCCCUUAACUGAGCCUUAGCAACCUGGCUCCAAACAGCAUCUUCUUCAACUCGAUAUGCAAAUUCUACAGCCCGCUCUAUGCUUUGGAUGUUAUCCAGGAGAACAUUAACUGCUUGUACAUUUAGGUUGAAUUUCUUAAAGAUGGCAAAGGCUUCCUCAUAUAAUUGUGCUUCAACAGCUACCUCUCCAACCGCAGGGCCAUCAAAGUUGUCCAACCUAUUAAUGUAAUCCAUGACCCUGGAUGCAUCCGCUUUAAUGGCCGUUAAGAUAAGCAGGUUUUGCAAAUUGAAGUUCCCACUGAAUGCAGAAUUUUGAAGCACAAUCUUUUCAAGCAGUUCAAUCAGUUCAUGUGGAAGAUCAGCAGUCAUGAAAGCUUUAACAGCUGCAGAAACUUGCUCCGGACUCUUGCUUUCAGGCAAUGCAGUAGAAACAACUUGGUCAAUAAGCUGUCUUCUAUACUCAUUAUCAGGUUGAAGAACCUUCUCCCAUAGAUCACCAUCCAUCCUUUCCACCACAUAUCUGUUAUCAACAGGAUAACAUCAUCAACUAAAUGCAGAGGAAAGAUUGAAAGGGAAACAAGAGAGUCACUUUUCAGAUGAUUAGCUGCAGAUUUUUUCUUCAAAAAAGAAAGAUACCUGGCCUGCAGUUUGAAAAGAGAGUUUUUAUUUGUGACAUUUAUCAGCUCAUCAUCACAUUGUCCACGUCUAUAUGCAACAACUGCAAGGGUGGGAUCCCGUUUUUCACAGUAUUUACCCACGACACGUGAAUCAUAAUAUGGAUUAGUCGUGAGAAAAUGCUCAGGAUUAUUGUUGCUGUCUAUAAUGAUCUUUCCCAGAGCAUUGUGAACAUGCACAUCCUGGCUUCCCUCGCUCACCAGAUGUUCCAAAAAUUGCGUGAGUAACCGUAGACGAUUCCUAUUUUACACAAGGCAGCAGACAAGUAACAUAUUAGGCAAGAAUGAAAACGUUGAUUUGGAGGCAUAGAAAGGGGAGAUGUGGUAUACCUCUUUUCACAUUCAGCAACAAGAGGCUCAACUGGAAGCAGGGAACGGACAGAAAGAAUGAGACCUUUUAUGAAAUCUUCAGGACACUCAUCGUCUAGAAGUUGUCCAACCACCAAAGGAGCAUUGCUUGGGUUCACCUAUUAUAAAAUAAUACAAACAAUUCCAAGUUAGCUGCUGUUAAAGUCUCUGAAACUGUUCAUAAAAACCCAUCCCAUUUUAAUUGCGCAUUUACUAUAAAACAAGUCAGAGUCAGUCUUGCAGCAGAUAAAAGUAGCUUAUGUUAAAAAGAGAAUCUUACUUUCUGCACAUAGCCUUCAAUAUACCGAAGCAUGUUGUUUGUAUACAAGUAGUGAGUCAAAUCAGGAAUAAAUCCAAAACGAUCACAGACAUUUAUCAGGGGGCGUGCAUCUGGUAGUUUGGAUUCCAUCAGGAAAUUCUUUGUUUUCUGUGGGUCGUAGAAGUUAGAUUCUCUUGUUACACGCUCAACUUCCUUGAUUUGGCCAGUUUUGGCUGCUGCCUCGAUAUAUUUGAAGUGUAUAUCUGGAUCUUCACUGUUCCGGAUAAAAAGAAGGGGGGGAAAAAAAGAGAAACCAAAGCAUCAAUAAUAGUGUUAUCUUUACCAGUGCCCACAAAAUACUUAGUAUUCAAAUAAGUACCUGGAACUCAGAUAUGAACCCAAAAAGAAGUAAAGACCUUCAUAGGACUUAAAUUGCUCAAACAGUUUUAUGCAUGCUUCCACACCUAACUGCUCGGAAUAUUCUUUUGCCGCCUGCAAAUAUAUGAUUGUUAUAUACCUCCAACAACUGAACUCACCAAAUUAUUCAAACAGGGGAAAAGAAAAAUUACCUGCACAAUUAUCUGAAGAUUUCCUCUCAGAUUGGCCAGCAAAAGAUCCUUCAUGCACUCUAAUGCCCACUCUUUAGAAAGUGUCCCAAAGAAUUCCACUAGUGCCUGAAAAGAAGGGUGAUCUGGUAUAGUAUCAAAACAGUUAAUCAGAUCAAACAACAGAGCCCAAGAUAACAUACCUGGGGCUCAAUGGCAUGAGUAUUCACAAUAACACGUUUAAUAUCAGGCAACUCUGUAUAAUGCUGCAACACAAAAUUGGAUAUGAUUUAAUAAAUUACAACAAAAACCAAAAGAAUCAUUUGCACAUAACUUACGAACAGCAUUCAACCUGAAGGGCUCUCAUAUAUAACCCAGCCUUCUCACACAGUUGAGCUAUUCGGGGGCGAUCAUAAUGACUGAACAUUCCAUUAGCUAAUAUAGCAUCUGCAACAUUUGGAUACGCCACCAGGUUGAUCUCUAAGACCUGCAUCAAAGAUAAAAGGUUAAAGAAAUUAUCCAUACCCGGGAUGAAAAAUAUAUAGCAUGCUUAUUCAAAGUGAAAAGACUACCUUUGUUUGAAGGAAAGCAUGCUCAGGUAGAUUCUGCUUUAAAACAUCCAACAGAAAAGCUGUUGCCUCUCGGAUCAUGUUCCUCUGCAAUAAAUAACACCAUGAGCCAAAAAAAAAAUCUAGCAAGCAAAUAGAAAUCUCUGAAAGAGGAUAAAAGAUGAAAACAUAAGAUAUAAAAGAGUUUCCAUUGCAUUUUCUUGACAACUAAACAGGGGCAUGUUUCAUAUAUACAGAUACACACACACACAAACAUACAUACAUACAUACAUAAUCGUAGAGUAAAGAGAGUGACUGAACCUGAAGGAAGAGAUCUGUGACUGUAUUAUAAUCCACUGGACAGCCACCCUCCAUUUGUGACAUCAUAAGAGCAAAAUUAACUGCUCCCUGUCAUAAAAACUUUAUGUUAAACAAAUAAUUCAAAAUGAGGGCACCGGGAAUUGAAUGAAUUUACAAAAAAACAAUCCCCAAAAGAACUCUCGAGCCAUGUAACCUCUCAAGUGUCACAGUAUACCUAAAGCAUCCAAAUUAUUGAAAAAUUUACAUCAUGCCUAUUCAAUAAACUAAAGCUUACCUGGGGAUCUGACCGUAGAAUUGUCUGCAGAAGGAAAAGAUAAUCUGGUGUGUAUCCAACCUGUAUCCGAGAACAAUAACUAUCAUCAUAACAGCCCAUAAUUCCAGGUAUGACUCUUGUUAUGUGUAAAUAUUUAUGAUGCAGUCCUGCAAGAACUGGUGGAAAAAGGAAAAAAACUGCUUUUAUAUUGAAGAUGAUGCAGAAGAAUUUGCAACAAUUACCUGUUUGGAGUAUAUGAGAAUCUUGUCAAACUCCCUUCGUUCUGCAAAAGCGGCAACAACCUUUGGUGUAGCCCUCGCUUUUAUAUAUAUUUUCAGUGCGAGAUCAUUGUCCACAGUCUACAGAAAAAACAGGAAGUAAGGUCUCCACAGCAAAAAUAACAAGUCUAACCAAUGACAGAGUGAUAAAACAGUAAAUAACAAUUUUUAAUUAUUAGGAAGAUGCUCAACAAAGUAGCAGUAACUUUACAAUCCUACCUUCACAAGAUCCCCAAGUUCUUCACUGCACUCAAGCUUGUCCUCAGCCAACCAAUUUUCCAAUAGAGACUUUUUGUUCUGAUUCACAACUAGGCGAGACAAUUCCAAAGACUCGAAUGCAUUGAGUUUUCCUUUAGUUAGCAAUGUUCCAAAAUACUGCAACAAGGGUGGUGUUUGCCCAGCUUGCACAGGAACACUCUGUAUAAAUACACAAAAGUUUGAAAGUAAAUAAUAUGACUCCUCAAGAUUGAACGGCAUCACUUACCCAAAAAAAAAGAUUGAAGGGCACAAAAAACUGAAAAGAGAAAAUAUAACUUCUUUUUCAGCCAAGAAUACAACCAUAAAAUAACAAGCACGGAGGCAAAAGGGACAGCUCUAAAGAAAUUAAAAGAUGCAGUUAAAGGAACUGCCAAUUAAAUACUGGAAACAUAAUAAUUGCCAAUAACAACAAUACAUAUGAUAUACAAGUUGCAAUUAUCUCAAAAGCAAAAAAUUAGAAACGAAGGAAGAGCUCAAGACCUGAAAUUUUGCAACAGUCUCAGGUGUUCGCAGAAUGCCUUGUGGAGAGUCUGCAGCCAGUUCGGCAGCUUCCUUGUAUUUUGUUUGAGAGAAUAGCUCCUGGAACCUCUGCACAACCUGGUCACACACACGAAAGGAGGGUUGGAUGAGAAAGAUUAUGUGAAUGAAACUAUAUGUAAUACAAGAAAGGAAAGUGCAUGAAAUUGUUGCUGUAAGACAAAAAAAAAAAAAUUAAAACAGUCUUCCCUGACAGUCAAAAAAAAAGGGGGUACAGAACAGGAGAAGAAAUGCCGUCGAAAAGAAUUUUAUUCCCAUAAAUAACAUAUUUCCCUUUUGUUUCAGUCAUUUUUCAUGAGGGAAAAAUAAGAAGAAAUCCUGCUUUUCCACCAAACUUGCAUAAUGUGGAGGGAAAUCCUUCUUUUUAUUCUCUAAGCAUUUCCCAUACAUUGGAGACACUCAAAUAACAAAAUUUUUGUUCUUUAUGAGAACCUGGUUAAGAAUACCAAUCCAAAGAAUCAAAAAGGUGAUAGAUUAAAAGAGGUUCUUCUAAAUAACUAAGGAAAAGAUUUCUGCAUAUGGCAGGAGAAGCUACAUUGAAAAAAUAUGAAAUGGGGAGGGAAUUUUUUUGGACAGAACCCAGAAAUUAGUAAUCACAAUCUAUUUAGCAACAUAUGAAAUUAUUCAUCAUCUCGAUGUGAAUCACUAAAACGAUUGAAAACUCAAGUUGCAGAAAUUAGUGAUAUGCAGAUAAAAAGCAGCAAGCUUCCAUCCAUUUGUACAUGCUUUGCAACCUUUCCAAAACUAUACGAUAAUAAUGUGAUAAAAAACAUCAAAUCAUGAUUCGCCAUACCGGCCCGAAUCAGGCGAUAUGCAGCAUACUGCACCGUAACGAUUCAAUACUGGUAUCUGGUACGGGUGGCGUACUAACACUCGGUACACCAAAAAAAUUCUGUACCAUACCGUAUCGAUAUAGUACUAGUGUGGCACCGGUCCAAAGUCCGGUACCGAAAAAGCGAACCUUGCAUCAAAUUAUAAUUUACCAAAUUCUCUGCCCCUGGAAGGUUUCCUCGUUUGGCAAGAUUAACAGCUAGCUCCAGAUUGUUCAACUGUAAAGUUACCAAAUAGUAAUUGUCAGUUAAACGUUAAUGCUUACAUAAUAAUUCAACAAAGAAAUUCCAGGAUACAAUCAUACUUGACCACUGACGAAGGGCACAAUAGUUGCCUCGUUAACAGUGGCAAGCAAAACCUGCCCCCGUCUAUUAAUAGCAUAAAAACCACCAUUAGACGAAGCCUCUGUUGUCAGAAAUAUAGGAUCUGGACUAAUUCGAUUUCUAUAGACUGCUGUUGCCGUCUCCAAAUCAUACACAAAUAACAGACCAAGCUUCGUGAUCACAUAUAUCAAACUGUACUUGUGUGAAAUCUGCCAGACAAAAAAUUCACUUAAUCACCAUUGUGCAAAAUUAGAUAUAUCUUGAAAGUCCAACAAAAUAGCCUUAAUGUUCUACCUGCAUUGCGACAGGGAAGUCAUCGGCAAAAUCAGGUGGGAAGAACAGAUCUGCUUGUUUCUUUGUAAAACCUGGCUUACCUAAGAACAAGGAAAACAAAUAAAGGUUUGAAAAGAGCAUAGGUUGAUUCUAACACUGAAAAAUAUUCUUUCACAGAAAUCAAAGAAGUCAGACUCCAAUUGAGUGGAGCACCUCAAAAGUAUGGUUGCAUGAAGUGGACGUUUCAUGACUGCAAGUACUUAGCAAGUCAAAUAUAGUAUAAAAGAAAAAUCAGUCAAGCUCGAAAAGUAUCCAUUUUGGUUCCAAGAAAGAGGAAAGAUUCCCACGCAGGGGCAGGGGCGGGGAAAAAGGGGUGGGGGUGGGGGUGUUGGGUUGUGAUAUAUAAAUGGAGAGCAUGAUUGUAGCAGUUUAAUAAAUGAAAUAUGGGAGGGUUGUACUAUAAAUGGAGAGCAUGGUUGUAACAGUUUAAUAAAUGAAAUAUCUAAACUAUAACAAAAGCACAUGCAAAGAUAUGCAUCAAACCUGGCUGGGCACCAAGUUCAAUAACAUGCAGCUUUGACGUAAUCUGUCCAGCAUUAGUGGUCUUUGAAGCAAAACAAAUAAGAAUGGAAGGAUUUUCAUUGCCAGCAACCUGUGUAAGCAACAAGCAAAAAGUCAAUAAUGACAUCAUAAGAACAAAUACAAGAACGCCAAGCAUCUAAGUCACAAACAAACAGCAAAACUCAUUAUAAUAUUACCUUAAAUGAUGCAAAGGAUGCAGCAUGUGCUUCAAGUGCCUGACUGCGUUGCUGAUCCACGGAAAAAAGCUGCAUACUUCCCUUGACCAGUUGUGGUCUCUACAACCAAGAUUUUGUAAAAUGAGGUGUAAAUUCGUGAGUUUCUUUUGAUAACUUCAACAAGCCAAUGUAACUUGGUGGCAAAUUUUAAUACACUAAAAAAGCUUAAUUAACAGGGAAAGGAGGAAAAUGAGAAGAAAAUGGAGAAAUACACAAAAAAAGGGUUGAAGAUGAAGGUGAAAAGAGCAUGAAAGAAAAGAGGAGUUUCAAACUCUGGCAGGCACAUCACAUUGAUUAUCAGUACAGCCAAACCUAAAGGAGGUGGUCGAUAAAAAUUGAUCAGUUGACUCUCCCUUUUGCAAGCUGAUCUCUGGCUUCAUUGCAAGACCCUUCAACAUUACAACUUUAUCUUGAGUGCUCGACCAUCUUAGAUGCUCAAUCCACAUCAUUUUCCAAGGGUGGCUGCUCCCAUCUCCAACAUCGAUAUCUGCUCCCAUUUAAACUCAGCUUUUCAAGACCAUGAAGCUACCGACAGAAGGAAUUGUUCAUAGGCAUGAACAUCCACCUCUCCGGUAUGAUUGGAAGCCCUUUCAAGAAGUGACAUUAAUCACCAAGGUAUAGAAACCCACUGUCAGGCAUCUCACGAGUUGUCUUAAAGUUUUCCCAUACAAUCGUCUCAGUCAUUACCUCAUUCCAAUUUAACAUGCCAAACAUGUAAGAGAACAAUUUGACCACUUAGAACAUGGCUUGAAAUUUUGUUCAUAAUAUUUCACCUAAAGAAUAUUUUUUUGACCGUAAAACAAACUUAAAUACCAAAGCAGGUUCUACAUGCCUUGGCCUGUGUUGGAUAAAAAUAAGCCGAUUUCAUCUGAAAGACAUAAUUACAAACUAGACCAUGUUAUCACAAGUAAUAUUAAUUCUAACCUAUUAUUUCCACAAUUUUUUAUAAAUAAGGCUGUGUUUCAGCAUAAGUCCUAAUUGUUUCUCCAAAAUCCACUGGCGAAAUUUUAAAUACAAUGCUAGUAUAAAAACAAACCAACUUAUGUAGAAAGAUGCAUUACAUGUUUAUGAAUAAUCAUAACCGACUCAUCACUCCAUUUUGCAGUCCCGAUUUACUAGUCAUUCCAAUUGGGUUCUGCCAACAAUGUUGCUGCAAGCUUUUCCAUAGCUAUCUUGUGAAAUCUGACCAUGCUAGCUUGCCCUCCUCUUUAAAGACCCUUUGACAUGGAUUUAACUUUUGAGCACCUUUUCUUCACAAAGUGUUGUCUUGCAGGCACAUAUCAUCUCAAUCAGUUCUCCAUUAACUUGUCCUCAAAUAGUAAAACUCCUACAUGUAAUCUAGUAUAUCAAUUCUCUUUUCUAGUUUUAAGUACUACCACUCAUCCAUCUCAGCAUUCUCCUAAGCAUUAACUGCAUCUUGCUUGCUUACAUCGACAUUAUUACAUGACACUUUAAACCAAACAAUAGCUAGCCUUGUCAUUAUGGUAUAGUAUUUCUAUCAUCAUGGUAUAAUAUUUCUGUCAUCAUGGUAUAAUAUUUCUGUUAUCGUGGUAUUCAUCAUGGUCAAGGUUUUACCUCCCAAUGGAACGAGGGAAGUCUCAUCCUGUUCCAGUGAGAAAACAUGACCGCGAUAGGGUCGGGACUCCCAAACCCAUCCACGUGGGGAGAGAGAAAGAAUGCAGAAAGAAGAAAAAGAAAGAUGAAGAAAAGGAAAAAGUGAAAGGGAAAGAAAAAGAAGAAAAACAAAAGAAAGAAAGGAAAUGAGAAGAAAAAGAAAAGAAGGAACAAAGGAUAGAGAAAGAAGAAGAAAAAAGGAAAAGAAAGGAAGAAAGGAAGGGAUAAGAAAAGAAAGAAAAAGGAAAGGAUAGAAAGGAAGGUAGAAGAAAAAGAGAGAAAAGAAGGAAAGAAAAAAGAAAAAAAGAAAGAAAGAAAGGAAAGACAAAGGGGAGAGAGCCGGAGGAAAUCUACCGGAAUGCAUGACCAAGACUACUGUCGAGACGGGAUGGGAUAGCAGGGUGUUCCAUUCCAUGGAGAAACCAAGACACCUCCGUCCCAUGGAAUUUAAAACCUUGAUCACGGUAUA
Molecule: long non-coding RNA, 27038 nt
Filed under: Phoenix dactylifera (date palm)
Lineage: Eukaryota; Viridiplantae; Streptophyta; Magnoliopsida; Arecales; Arecaceae
Description: long non-coding RNA (PDAC_LNC004523)
Source: RNAcentral